GACGAACGCUGGCGGCGUGCCUAAUACAUGCAAGUUGAGCGCUGAAUGCUGGUACUUGUACCGACUGGUUAAGCAGCGGACGGGUGAGUAACGCGUGGUGGAUCUGCCUUUGAGCAGGGGACAAUAAUUGGAAACGAAUGCUAAUAGCGCAUAAAAACUUUAAACACAAGCUUUAAGUGUGAAAGAUGCAAUUGCAUCACUCAAAGAUGAUCCCGCGUUGUAUUAGCUAGUUGGUGAGGUAAAGGCUCACCAAGGCGAUGAUACAUAGCCGACCUGAGAGGGUGAUCGGCCAAAUUGGGACUGAGACACGGCCCAAAAUCCUACGGGAGGCAGCAGUAGGGAAUCUUCGGCAAUGGAAGAAAGUCUGACCGAGCAACGCCGCGUGAGUGCAGAAGGUUUUCGGAUCGUAAAACUCUGUUGGUAGAGAAGAACGUUGGUGAGAGUGGCAAGCUCACCUAGUGACGGUAACUACACAGAAAGGGACGGCUAACUACGUG
RNAcentral lists this ribosomal RNA (497 nucleotides) under uncultured bacterium. RNAcentral's name for it is "partial 16S ribosomal RNA". It matches the Rfam family "Bacterial small subunit ribosomal RNA", at positions 28 to 507 of the family's 1533-position model. The record is from RNAcentral.